RNAcentral lists this ribosomal RNA (147 nucleotides) under uncultured Tomentella. RNAcentral's name for it is "5.8S ribosomal RNA". It matches the Rfam family "5.8S ribosomal RNA". From Rfam's summary of the family: 5.8S ribosomal RNA (5.8S rRNA) is a component of the large subunit of the eukaryotic ribosome. It is transcribed by RNA polymerase I as part of the 45S precursor that also contains 18S and 28S rRNA. Lineage: Eukaryota; Fungi; Basidiomycota; Agaricomycetes; Thelephorales; Thelephoraceae. The record is from RNAcentral.
AACUUUCAGCAACGGAUCUCUUGGCUCUCGCAUCGAUGAAGAACGCAGCGAAAUGCGAUAAGUAAUGUGAAUUGCAGAAUUCAGUGAAUCAUCGAAUCUUUGAACGCACCUUGCGCCCUUUGGCUAUUCCGAAGGGCAUGCCUGUUU